RNAcentral lists this ribosomal RNA (699 nucleotides) under uncultured bacterium. RNAcentral's name for it is "bacterial SSU rRNA". It matches the Rfam family "Bacterial small subunit ribosomal RNA", at positions 8 to 714 of the family's 1533-position model. The record is from RNAcentral.
AGAGUUUGAUCCUGGCUCAGAAUGAACGUUGGCGGUGUGGAUUAGGCAUGCAAGUCGAGCGAGAAGCUUCCUGCUUGCAGGAAGUGGACAGCGGCGUAAGGGAGAGUAACGCGUAGUUACCUACCCCAGGGUCCGGGAUAGCGGCGGGAAACUGCCGGUAAUACUGGAUGAUAUCUCCGGAUCAAAGGUGUGAUUCCGCCCUGGGAGGGGACUGCGUCCUAUUAGCUUGUUGGUGGGGUAAUGGCCUACCAAGGCAUUGAUGGGUACCGGGUGUGAGAGCAUGGCCCGGCUCACUGGGACUGAGACACUGCCCAGACACCUACGGGUGGCUGCAGUCGAGAAUCUUCGGCAAUGCGCGAAAGCGUGACCGAGCGACACCGCGUGCGGGAUGAAGGCUUUCGGGUUGUAAACCGCUGUCAGAGGGGAGGAAAUCUAUGGGGGUUAUCCCCCAUAGUUGACCUAUCCUCAGAGGAAGGACGGGCUAAGUUCGUGCCAGCAGCCGCGGUAACACGAACCGUCCAAACGUUAUUCGGAAUUAUUGGGCUUAAAGGGUGCGUAGGCGGUGUAGUAAGUUGGGUGUGAAAUCCCUCGGCUCAACCGAGGAACUGCGCCCAAUACUGCUACACUCGAGGGAGACAGAGGUAAGCGGAACUGAUGGUGGAGCGGUGAAAUGCGUUGAUAUCAUCAGGAACACCAGUG